AGAAGAGUGCCUGAAAAAGGAUUAUCUUGAUAAGGUAAAAAAUGUGCCUCUCCCCCCUGCCCGCACCUCUUCUC
Molecule: transfer RNA, 74 nt
Filed under: Henosepilachna pusillanima
Lineage: Eukaryota; Metazoa; Arthropoda; Insecta; Coleoptera; Coccinellidae
Description: tRNA-Ile
Source: RNAcentral